AACGAACGCUGGCGGCGUGCCUAACACAUGCAAGUCGAGCGCGAAAGUCCCUUCGGGGGCUAGUAGAGCGGCGGACGGGUGAGUAAUACGUGGAUAAUCUUCCCUCGAGCUUGGGAUAACCCUGCGAAAGUGGGGCUAAUACCGGAUAAGACCACAUAGCAUAUGCUACGUGGUAGAAGGUGGCUUAUAUUUAUAUGAGCUAUCACUUGAGGACGAGUCCAUGGCCUAUCAGCUAGUUGGUGAGGUAAAAGCUCACCAAGGCUAUGACGGGUAGCGGGUCAGAGAGGACGACCAGCCACACUGGGACUGAGACACGGCCCAGACUCCUACGGGAGGCAGCAGUGGGGAAUAUUGGGCAAUGGGCGAAAGCCUGACCCAGCGACGCCGCGUGGGUGAUGAAGGCCUUCGGGUUGUAAAGCCCUUUCGUGCGGAAAGAACAGCCCUGUAGCGAAUACCUACAGGGUUUGACGGUACCGCAGGAAGAAGCACCGGCUAACUCCGUGCCAGCAGCCGCAGUAA
This 519-nucleotide ribosomal RNA is filed under the name uncultured bacterium. Its description in RNAcentral is "partial 16S ribosomal RNA". It matches the Rfam family "Bacterial small subunit ribosomal RNA", at positions 29 to 523 of the family's 1533-position model. The record is from RNAcentral.